GUGCUUGCCUCGGCAGCACAUAUACUAAAAUUGGAACGAUACAGAGAAGAUUAGCAUGGCCCCUGCGCAAGGAUGCCACGCAAAUUCGUGAAGUGUUCCAUAUUUUU
RNAcentral lists this small nuclear RNA (107 nucleotides) under Delphinapterus leucas (beluga whale). The record is from RNAcentral. Lineage: Eukaryota; Metazoa; Chordata; Mammalia; Artiodactyla; Monodontidae.